RNAcentral lists this ribosomal RNA (405 nucleotides) under uncultured bacterium. RNAcentral describes it as "bacterial SSU rRNA". It matches the Rfam family "Bacterial small subunit ribosomal RNA", at positions 355 to 776 of the family's 1533-position model. The record is from RNAcentral.
UGAGGAAUCUUCCACAAUGGACGAAAGUCUGAUGGAGCAAUACCGCGUGCAGGAUGACGGCCUUCGGGUUGUAAACUGCUUUUAUAUGGGAAGAUUAUGACGGUACCAUAUGAAUAAGGACCGGCUAACUACGUGCCAGCAGCCGCGGUAAUACGUAGGGUCCAAGCGUUAUCCGGAAUCACUGGGCGUAAAGCGUUUGUAGGCGGAAAUUUAAGUGAGAUGCGAAAUCUUGUGGCUCAACCAUAUAGACGGUAUCUCAUACUGGGUUUCUAGAAGAUAGCAGAGGUAAGUGGAAUUAGUAGUGUAGCGGUAAAAUGCGUAGAUAUUACUAGGAACACCAAUGGCGAAGGCAGCUUACUGGGCUAUAUUUGACGCUGAGAAACGAAAGCGUGGGGAGCGAACAGG